This is a long non-coding RNA of Oxyura jamaicensis (ruddy duck), 876 nucleotides long. RefSeq lists it as uncharacterized. The transcript is spliced from 3 exons. Lineage: Eukaryota; Metazoa; Chordata; Aves; Anseriformes; Anatidae. The record is from RefSeq and is a predicted model, not a curated record.
GGUCUGAAAGCCUGUAAUUUGAUAGGAGUGAGGAAUGGCUGUGCUUUUACACAUCAUCAGAUACAAUGGCUGAUACAACAGCAGCUGGUGCUGAUGGUAGAGAUUGAAAUGCUUUAAAUCAUCCUUUCUCUUCUAGCAAACAUAUAGUUAAGCUGAAGGCCUUGAUGUCUGUGUCUCUUCUCAUCCUCCACCUCCCUUCUUUGCAAGCUCAGCAAGUUUUCUCCUUAAACUCAGGCUGUAAGAUUUUGUGUUCUGGAUAUUAAUGAUUAUUCAAUCAGUAACCAUUAAGCUGCAGUUCAUUGUUAGGUAGUUAGAUUGGCCUUUUAAUUAUUUCUUCAUAUGCUAUACCCCAAGCUGUUACUGGUCCCUGCAAUAGAAGCUUCCACUGCCUUUCUGGCCACAGGUACAGGAAAUAUUCACAACUUUGUCUCAACCGCUCUGAACUCGAGGGACCACGAUGGGCAUUCUGAAGAAGUCACUUAAAAUAAUAAUGGAGCCUAUGCAAGCUUCUUUGCAGAGCUGGAGAGUGGAGAUGGUCUCAUAUGAGCUAUUUCUUCAAUGUCACAGCUAGCAUUGCAUGGUAGAACCACCAUUAAGAUAAUCAUAUCUUCCCCAUCCAGUUUUUGAGAUGAAACCAUGAGAAUGCAUAUUGCAGCUGACCUGCUGCUGUUACCAAGCUAGCCAGAAUUGAAAAUCACCAGUUUAAAAAUGACUGGCUCAGUCCAGCACCGUAAGCGUUGGCAGCUCAUUACCUACAUCAUGAUGGUGCACCAAUGAUUAUAUAUUUCAGACAUUCCAAAUUCAGAAUUCUGUAUACAUUCAGAACAUUGACACAGCAGUUAGUUGUGCAUUGACAUCAAUAGCCUUUUGGCAACA